Molecule: transfer RNA, 74 nt
Filed under: Bacteriophage sp.
Description: tRNA-Pro
Rfam family: tRNA
About the family: Transfer RNA (tRNA) molecules are approximately 80 nucleotides in length. Their secondary structure includes four short double-helical elements and three loops (D, anti-codon, and T loops). Further hydrogen bonds mediate the characteristic L-shaped molecular structure. tRNAs have two regions of fundamental functional importance: the anti-codon, which is responsible for specific mRNA codon recognition, and the 3' end, to which the tRNAs corresponding amino acid is attached (by aminoacyl-tRNA synthetases). tRNAs cope with the degeneracy of the genetic code in two manners: having more than one tRNA (with a specific anti-codon) for a particular amino acid; and 'wobble' base-pairing, i.e. permitting non-standard base-pairing at the 3rd anti-codon position.
Source: RNAcentral
CGGGAUAUAGUUCAGUUUGGCAGAACGCUCCACCUGGGAUGGAGAGGUCGUAGGUUCAAAUCCUGCUAUUCCGA